UUGGCCCUACGAUGUGCAACCGUAGAUUUUCAGGUAGGUGAUGAGUCAUAGCUGAUGCGUUCGGAUAGCUGUUGCUUUGCUAUUUAAUUAGAGUCGCUCUGUUAGAAUGUUGUUGGGGAAAACUUUUAUUUAAUUAUGCUACUAAUUCUUUAUUAACAAUUGGACCAUGUAGUUUUGAUUCAAUCAUUUCAAUUUGAACUUUGAAACUUAUAUUAUUGGUUUAAUUUUUA
RNAcentral lists this long non-coding RNA (230 nucleotides) under Trifolium pratense (red clover). Its description in RNAcentral is "long non-coding RNA (TPRA_LNC003946)". The record is from RNAcentral. Lineage: Eukaryota; Viridiplantae; Streptophyta; Magnoliopsida; Fabales; Fabaceae.